Molecule: non-coding RNA, 28 nt
Filed under: Mus musculus (house mouse)
Lineage: Eukaryota; Metazoa; Chordata; Mammalia; Rodentia; Muridae
Source: RNAcentral
UGGCCGGCCAUUCUUCAUAUUCUUCUUA